UUGGUCUUAGCCAAGUGGUUAACGCAGCAGAAUCGAAAUCUGCUUCGGUUGGACUGGGCAGGUUCGAAACUUGCUGAUUAAC
Molecule: non-coding RNA, 82 nt
Organism: Suillus cothurnatus
Lineage: Eukaryota; Fungi; Basidiomycota; Agaricomycetes; Boletales; Suillaceae
Source: the annotation of a GenBank genome assembly